AUGUCCUCCUCCUCCCCGUCCCCGUCGCCGUCCCGCCUGGUGCCGCAGCUCCUGGUCGCCCUCCUCCAGCGCCGCCGCUUCGACUCCGCGCUCCGCCCGUCUCCCACCUUCCGCGGCUUCUCCCCGUCCUCCAUCGCCGCCUCGCUCGCCGCCAUCCCGCGCCUCAUCCUCCCGCGCUCCGCGGGCCGCCUCUGCCCGCAGCGGCCCUUCCCCUCCCCGUCCUCCUCUUACCACCGCCGGGUCGCCGCCGCGCUCACCCUCGCCUUCCUCAACUGGUCCCACUCCGACGCCAUCCCGCACGCCGUCCCGCUCACCGAGGCCCCGCUCCGCGCCGCCGCGCUCUCCCUCGCCCGCGCCCGCGCGCUCCCCGCGCUCUUCGGCCUCCUCCGCGAGCACGCCCCGCUCGUCUCCACCGCCGCGCUCACCGACGUCAUCCGCGCGCUCGGCGAGGAGGGCCUCCCGCGGCAGGCCCUCGCCGCCUUCCACCGCGCGCGCCAGCUCCGGUGCUCCCCGGACGCGCAAUGCUACAACACACUGCUCGCUGCACUGUGCCGGAACGGCCGGUUCAAGGAGGCCAGGUUCCUGCUCGACCAGAUGGAGCGCCCCGGCGCGCGCUGCAAGCCUGACUCCUACACCUACACCGUGCUCAUUUCCUGGUACUGUCGGAUCGGGGCGGGGACUGGGUGCCGGAAGGCCGCCAGGAGAAGGAUCUACGAGGCCGGCAGGGUGUUCCGGAGGAUGGGGGAGAAGGGGCUGGAGCCGGACGUCGUGACCUACAACUGUUAUAUCAAUGGCCUCUGCAAGACGUACCGCGUGGAGCGUGCGCACGAGGUGUUUGAUGGAAUGGUGAAGAAGGGGUGCAUGCCAAACCGGGUGACAUAUAACUCGUUUGUGAGGUAUUACAGUGCGGUGAAUAAGGUUAACAAGGCUAUUGAGUGGAUGAGGGAUAUGGUGGCGAGGGGGCAUGGGGUGGCGACAUCAAGCACGUACACACCUCUUAUACAUUCGCUAUACGAGAGUGGGCGGAUCGGGGAUGCAAGGCGGUUCAUGAUCGAGAUGGUGGAAAGUGGGCACCUCCCCAGGGAACACACCUACAAGCUUGUGAAGGAUGCAACUGAGGGGGCCGACGAGGAGGCCUUGCCAGCAGAGCUGUGUCACUCCAUUGAGGAGGGCAUCAAGGAAAGGUUUCAGCAAGUCAUGCGUAUGAAACCCAUAAUGCGACCAGUGACGAGAUAA
RNAcentral lists this ribosomal RNA (1236 nucleotides) under Triticum aestivum (bread wheat). Its description in RNAcentral is "partial small subunit ribosomal RNA". Lineage: Eukaryota; Viridiplantae; Streptophyta; Magnoliopsida; Poales; Poaceae. The record is from RNAcentral.